Long non-coding RNA from Culex quinquefasciatus (southern house mosquito), 857 nucleotides. RefSeq lists it as uncharacterized. The transcript is spliced from 2 exons. Lineage: Eukaryota; Metazoa; Arthropoda; Insecta; Diptera; Culicidae. The record is from RefSeq and is a predicted model, not a curated record.
AACCUUUCACCACAGAGUUGCAUGAAAAUUCCGGUGGCAACCAGUUUUCGAUUGAAAACAACGUUUUGCAUGAGUCAUGCAACAGUCACAUUACAUUCAUGUCAACUCUGCUUGAUUUCCACGCAGCUUACACUCACACAACAAAAUACCACGUGAAAUUCAUGCCUGAAAAUUUAGAGGCGUGGCUUGCGGGUCAGCUGAUUUGGGUUUGCAUGAAAUUCAUGUAACAUGCGCAAGUAAAGUGGUAUGGAAAAUAUCCACUGACCAUUUCAUGCAACAUUGUGGUGAAAAGUGACGACGAUGAGCAGAGUUGAAAAGUUGCGUGAUUUUCCUGUCUGAAAAUUUUGAGCCAGGCGUGCAAGGCUGUGGGCAAUCGCCAUUCAGUUUGCUGCUGCUUCUCAUCGACUAAACAUAGUUUCUGCCAUCGGUCACCGGAACAGAAAUAGUAUUGAUCUUUGAAAUCGAUACGUGCAAAACCACGGAUCCAGAACGUCCAGCACGCCUAAUCGGAGCCUCCACCACAAUGGCCAAGUGUAGCAUUAGGCAAGAGGUGCGCAAGGCCCAGCGGGACCGGUCUCCAAGGGAGUCAAGCAGGCUGCGAAGAAGGUGAUGGAAGUAUCGGCCGGUAUACUGUUCGUGGCCGUGGCCAUUGUUUGCAAUCGAGAUUCCGGUAUAAAACCGACAACCGUCGGUAAAAGGGUAGGCCGCCCAGCUGUCCGCAAGCUACUAGCGAUUAGCCCCAAACCUGGACCAUUUUUGCGUGUGUGUGCUGAUGUCUGUGCUGUGUGUUUUUUUUUUGUGGUGUGAUGUAGUAAGGAAAAUGUGAUGUGAUUUAUGAAAAUUUGAAAAUAAAAGGA